Molecule: ribosomal RNA, 1527 nt
Filed under: Triticum aestivum (bread wheat)
Lineage: Eukaryota; Viridiplantae; Streptophyta; Magnoliopsida; Poales; Poaceae
Description: partial small subunit ribosomal RNA
Source: RNAcentral
AUGGCGCCGCGCCCCGGAACGGCGGCGAUGAGCAGAUUCCCGCCGGUGUCGUCCUACGACGCGGCAGCGCGGGAGCGCCGCACCGCGGCCUCCGACCUGGACGGCACCCUGCUCGCCUCCUCCUCCGCGUUCCCCUACUACUUCCUCGUGGCGCUCGAGGCCGGCGGGUACCUCCGGGCCCUCGCGCUGCUCCUCCUCGCCCCGUUCAUCCUGCUGCUCUACACCGCCGUCUCCGAGCCGGCCGCCAUCGGGCUGCUCGUCUUCGCAACGUUCACGGGGCUCCGGGUGCGGGACGUGGAGGCCGUGGCGAGGGGCGUCCUCCCGCGGCACUACGCCGCCGGGGUGCGCGCCGACUCGUGGGAGGUGUUCCGGGGGUGCGGCGCGGGCAGGCGGGUCGUGGUCACGGCGUCGCCGGCUGUCAUGGUGAGCCCGUUCGUCCGCGAGUUCCUGGGGGCCGAGGUGGCUGGCACCGAGCUCGGGAUCUUCUGCGGGCGAUUCACCGGGCUCAUCAGCGGCGGGGUGCUCGUCGCCGGGAGGAAGAGGGAGGUCGUGGAGCGGCUGUUUGCCGGCGGGGACAUGCCGGACGUCGGGCUCGGCGACCGCGAGAGCGACCAUGACUUCAUGGCCAUCUGCAAGGAAGCGUACAUGGUGCCCACGAACAAGCGCGCACCGCGGGCCGCCCCCGACGCUCUGCUGUCCCGCGUCGUGUUCCACGACGGCCGCCUUGUCCGCCGGCCAGACCCCGCGCACGCGCUCUUCGCGCUGGCCUACCUCCCCGUUGGCUUCGCCCUGGCCGUGCUCCGCGUCCUCAUCAGCCUCUCUGUCCUGCGGCACCUCGUGCGCCACACGUACCGCCUGACCGGCAUCCGGCUCGCCGUGCGGGGCACGGCCCCGCCGGCGCCGCGCGACGGCUCCCCGGGGUCCCUCCUCGUGUGCAAUCACCGCACGGCGCUGGACCCCAUCAUCGUGGCCGUGGCGCUGGGGCGGCCUGUGACGUGCGUGACCUACAGCGCGAGCCGGCUGUCGAUGGCCAUCUCGCCGAUCCCGGCGGUGGCGCUGGCGAGGGACAGGGAGGCCGACGCGGCGCGCAUCGCGGCGCUGCUGAGCUCCGGGCGCGAUGUGGUAGUGUGCCCCGAGGGGACGACGUGCCGGGAGCCGUGCCUGCUACGGUUCUUGGCGCUGUUCGCGGAGCUGACGGACCGGAUAGUGCCGGUGGCGCUGGAGGCGUCACAGUCGACCUACUACGGGUCGACGGCGAGGGGGUGGAAGGCCUUGGACCCGUGGUUCUUCUACAUGAACCCGCGGCCGGGGUACAAGGUGACGUUCCUGCCGGCGCUCCGGCCGGAGGAGACGUGUGGCGCUGGCGGUAGGAGCGCCGUCGAUGUGGCCAACCAUGUGCAGGCGGUGCUCGCCAAGGAGCUCGGGUACCGGUGCACGACGCUCACCAGAAAGGACAAGUACAUGAAACUCGCCGGAAACGACGGCACAGUAGCAACCGCCGGCGACGAUGUUUACAAAGCUAACUGA